GGAUUAUGGCUCAGUGGUAGAGUGCUCGCCUAGCAUGGGCGGGACCUGGGUUUGAUCCUCAGCACCA
This 67-nucleotide transfer RNA is filed under the name Marmota monax (woodchuck). Its description in RNAcentral is "tRNA.Ala". Lineage: Eukaryota; Metazoa; Chordata; Mammalia; Rodentia; Sciuridae. The record is from RNAcentral.